This is a long non-coding RNA of Homo sapiens (human), 335 nucleotides long. Lineage: Eukaryota; Metazoa; Chordata; Mammalia; Primates; Hominidae. The record is from Ensembl.
GUUGUUGCUUUGGCUACUGGUCUGUUCUUUCAUUUUGGGCUUAUAGUGCUUUAAAAUUCAAUAUAUUGGAUAUUAAAUGCAUGUGAUUAGGAAACAGUCUUGAAAUAUGCCCAGAGUUACUCAGUAGCUUCUUUUUUAUAAUUUUAAUUGUGGUGGUCUCACAUUUGUGGGUUUAAAUUGUCUGAGUUAUUGAGUGUUGUAUUUUGUAGCCCCCUUCUUUAAUUUUCAGAAGCACUGUCCAUUUCAUUUCGGUUUAUAAAAAUGCACAUCUUUUGUUUAUUGUUAUGAUUUAUCCAUGUGUGUUUUCUAGCCAAUAAACUGUGUCUUGCAGUCAU